Molecule: ribosomal RNA, 449 nt
Filed under: Peptostreptococcus stomatis
Lineage: Bacteria; Bacillati; Bacillota; Clostridia; Peptostreptococcales; Peptostreptococcaceae
Description: bacterial SSU rRNA
Rfam family: Bacterial small subunit ribosomal RNA
Source: RNAcentral
AAGCCUGAUGCAGCAACGCCGCGUGAACGAUGAAGGUCUUCGGAUCGUAAAGUUCUGUUGCAGGGGAAGAUAAUGACGGUACCCUGUGAGAAGCCCCGGCUAACUACGUGCCAGCAGCCGCGGUAAUACGUAGGGGGCUAGCGUUAUCCGGAUUUACUGGGCGUAAAGGGUGCGUAGGUGGUCCUUCAAGUCGGUGGUUAAAGGCUACGGCUCAACCGUAGUAAGCCGCCGAAACUGGAGGACUUGAGUGCAGGAGAGGAAAGUGGAAUUCCCAGUGUAGCGGUGAAAUGCGUAGAUAUUGGGAGGAACACCAGUAGCGAAGGCGGCUUUCUGGACUGCAACUGACACUGAGGCACGAAAGCGUGGGUAGCAAACAGGAUUAGAUACCCUGGUAGUCCACGCUGUAAACGAUGAGUACUAUGUGUCGGGGUUACCCCCCUCGGUGCCGC